RNAcentral lists this small nuclear RNA (103 nucleotides) under Castor canadensis (American beaver). The record is from RNAcentral. Lineage: Eukaryota; Metazoa; Chordata; Mammalia; Rodentia; Castoridae.
AUGCUUUGGCAGCACAUAUACUAAAAUUGGAAUGAUACAGAGAAGAUUAGCAUGGCUUCUGCACAAGGAUGACAUGGAAAUUCGUGCAGCAGUCCAUAUUUUU